This 467-nucleotide ribosomal RNA is filed under the name uncultured bacterium. RNAcentral describes it as "partial 16S ribosomal RNA". It matches the Rfam family "Bacterial small subunit ribosomal RNA", at positions 28 to 507 of the family's 1533-position model. The record is from RNAcentral.
GACGAACGCUGGCGGCGUGCUUAACACAUGCAAGUCGAACGGAAAGGCUCCAGCUUGCUGGAGUACUCGAGUGGCGAACGGGUGAGUAACACGUGGGUAAUCUGCCCUGCACUCUGGGAUAAGCCUGGGAAACUGGGUCUAAUACUGGAUAUGACCUUUCUCCUUAUGGGGUUUGGUGGAAAGUUUUUCGGUGUAGGAUGAGCCCGCGGCCUAUCAGCUUGUUGGUGGGGUGAUGGCCUACCAAGGCGACGACGGGUAGCCGGCCUGAGAGGGUGAUCGGCAACAUUGGGACUGAGAUACGGCCCAGACUCCUACGGGAGGCAGCAGUGGGGAAUAUUGCACAAUGGGCGGAAGCCUGAUGCAGCGACGCCGCGUGAGGGAUGACGGCCUUCGGGUUGUAAACCUCUUUCAGCAGGGACGAAGCGUAAGUGACGGUACCUGCAGAAGAAGCACCGGCUAACUACGUG